Molecule: ribosomal RNA, 194 nt
Filed under: Cryptotomus roseus (bluelip parrotfish)
Lineage: Eukaryota; Metazoa; Chordata; Actinopteri; Labriformes; Labridae
Description: partial large subunit ribosomal RNA
Source: RNAcentral
AUGGAGACCUGUAUGAAUGGCAUCACGAGGGCUUAACUGUCUCCUUUUCCAAGUCAAUGAAAUUGAUCUUCCCGUGCAGAAGCGGGAAUAAAUUCAUAAGACGAGAAGACCCUAUGGAGCUUUAGACACCAAAGCAGCUCAUGUUCAGAACCCUGGGACAACAGGCAAAACUUAUUGACGCCUGCCCUACUGUC